Molecule: ribosomal RNA, 443 nt
Filed under: uncultured bacterium
Lineage: Bacteria
Description: partial 16S ribosomal RNA
Rfam family: Bacterial small subunit ribosomal RNA
Source: RNAcentral
CCUACGGGUGGCAGCAGUGGGGAAUAUUGGGCAAUGGGCGCAAGCCUGACCCAGCAACGCCGCGUGAAGGAAGAAGGCCCUCGGGUUGUAAACUUCUUUUAACAGGGACGAAGAAAGUGACGGUACCGGUUGAAUAAGCAACGGCUAACUACGUGCCAGCAGCCGCGGUAAUACGUAGGUGGCAAGCGUUAUCCGGAUUUACUGGGUGUAAAGGGCGGGUAGGCGGGAGAGCAAGUCAGACGUGAAAUUCCAGGGCUCAACCCUGGAACUGCGUUUGAAACUGUUCUUCUUGAGUGAUGGGGAGGCAGGCGGAAUUCCGUGUGUAGCGGUGAAAUGCGUAGAUAUACGGAGGAACACCAGUGGCGACGGCGGCCUGCUGGACAUUAACUGACGCUGAGGCGCGAAAGCGUGGGGAGCAAACAGGAUUAGAUACCCCUGUAGUC